Non-coding RNA from Podarcis lilfordi (Lilford's wall lizard), 79 nucleotides. NCBI's taxonomy places the organism in Eukaryota, Metazoa, Chordata, Lepidosauria, Squamata, Lacertidae. The record is from the annotation of a GenBank genome assembly.
GAUAACUCAGUUGGUUAGAGUAUGGUGCUGAUAAUGCCAAGGUUGCAGGUUCAGUCCCCAUGAAUAUCCCUGCAUUGCA